UUUGUUGUUCUAAAGCUCUUUACUUAUCCACUGAAAAUUUAUACCAAGGGUAAUAGCUGUGCAAUCUUCCUCACGUUGCCCCAUCCAUGUCUCAGCCCUGACCUGGAUGGAACACAUCUAGGGGAAAGAUAUUUACCAUCAAAUAGACUUCUUGA
Molecule: small RNA, 155 nt
Filed under: Chrysemys picta bellii (western painted turtle)
Lineage: Eukaryota; Metazoa; Chordata; Testudines; Emydidae
Description: TUC338 (ENSCPBG00000014496.1)
Source: RNAcentral